Molecule: ribosomal RNA, 441 nt
Filed under: uncultured bacterium
Lineage: Bacteria
Description: partial 16S ribosomal RNA
Rfam family: Bacterial small subunit ribosomal RNA
Source: RNAcentral
CCUACGGGAGGCAGCAGUGGGGGAUAUUGCACAAUGGGGGAAACCCUGAUGCAGCGACGCCGCGUGGGUGAAGAAGUAUUUCGGUAUGUAAAGCCCUAUCAGCAGGGAAGAAAGAAGACGGUACCUGACUAAGAAGCCCCGGCUAACUACGUGCCAGCAGCCGCGGUAAUACGUAGGGGGCGAGCGUUAUCCGGAUUCACUGGGUGUAAAGGGAGCGUAGACGGCCGUGCAAGCCAGGAGUGAAAGCCCGGGGCCCAACCCCGGGACUGCUCUUGAAACUGUGCGGCUGGAGUGCGGGAGGGGCAGGCGGAAUUCCUAGUGUAGCGGUGAAAUGCGUAGAUAUCAGGAGGAACACCGGCGGCGAAGGCGGCCUGCUGGACCGCGACUGACGUUGAGGCUCGAAAGCGUGGGGAGCGAACAGGAUUAGAUACCCUUGUAGUC